This 376-nucleotide unclassified non-coding RNA is filed under the name fungal sp. Its description in RNAcentral is "partial internal transcribed spacer region". The stretch from base 1 to 46 matches the Rfam family "Eukaryotic small subunit ribosomal RNA", at positions 1786 to 1831 of the family's 1831-position model. The record is from RNAcentral. Lineage: Eukaryota; Fungi.
AAGUCGUAACAAGGUUUCCGUAGGUGAACCUGCGGAAGGAUCAUUAACACGUAUCCAACGUUAAAACCCCCCCGUGAACCUUCAGUGUGCUCGUACGCUUUGUUAGAAAGUAGCAAUCCCUGGUAAAUCAUCGCCGAACAGUUUUGAUUCAGGGACUUCUGCGAAGAGUGUGCUUGUAGCGCGAGGCAAGUGGCCUGGCAUCCUUGUCUGAAAGUGUCAAGGGUGGCGCAGUCACGAUCGCUAGAGGUCGAUCACCGGCCGGCAGACAUGUCACAGGGCUAUAUGCCCCUUCGUUCACCCCUUGCCUAAAACUCGCCCACCGGAAACGCUGGGCACAAAAACCGAACAACUGUUAACAAUGGAUAUCUUGGUUCUC